UACUCCUACGGGAGGCAGCAGUGGGGAAUAUUGGACAAUGGGCGCAAGCCUGAUCCAGCCAUACCGCGUGGGUGAAGAAGGCCUUCGGGUUGUAAAGCCCUUUUGUUGGGAAAGAAAUCCAGCCGGCUAAUACCCGGUUGGGAUGACGGUACCCAAAGAAUAAGCACCGGCUAACUUCGUGCUAGCAGCCGCGGUAAUACGAAGGGUGCAAGCGUUACUCGGAAUUACUGGGCGUAAAGCGUGCGUAGGUGGUCGUUUAAGUCCGUUGUGAAAGCCCUGGGCUCAACCUGGGAACUGCAGUGGAUACUGGGCGACUAGAGUGUGGUAGAGGGUAGCGGAAUUCCUGGUGUAGCAGUGAAAUGCGUAGAGAUCAGGAGGAACAUCCAUGGCGAAGGCAGCUACCUGGACCAACACUGACACUGAGGCACGAAAGCGUGGGGAGCAAACAGGAUUAGAUACCCUGGUAGUCCACGCCCUAAACGAUGCGAACUGGAUGUUGGGUGCAAUUUGGCACGCAGUAUCGAAGCUAACGCGUUAAGUUCGCCGCCUGGGGAGUACGGUCGCAAGACUGAAACUCAAAUGAAUUGACGGA
Molecule: ribosomal RNA, 592 nt
Filed under: uncultured bacterium
Lineage: Bacteria
Description: bacterial SSU rRNA
Rfam family: Bacterial small subunit ribosomal RNA
Source: RNAcentral